UACAGAGGUCCCGAGCGUUGUUCGGAUUCACUGGGCGUAAAGGGUGCGUAGGUGGUGAGGCAAGUCGGAUGUGAAAUAUCGGAGCUUAACUCCGAAACGGCAUUGGAAACUGCCUUGCUCGAGGUUUGGAGGGGGGACUGGAAUGCUUGGUGUAGCAGUGAAAUGCGUAGAUAUCAAGCGGAACACCAGUGGCGAAGGCGAGUCCCUGGACAACACCUGACACUGAGGCACGAAAGCUAGGGGAGCAAACAGG
Molecule: ribosomal RNA, 253 nt
Filed under: uncultured bacterium
Lineage: Bacteria
Description: partial 16S ribosomal RNA
Rfam family: Bacterial small subunit ribosomal RNA
Source: RNAcentral